RNAcentral lists this ribosomal RNA (19 nucleotides) under Choiromyces helanshanensis. RNAcentral describes it as "partial 18S ribosomal RNA". The record is from RNAcentral. Lineage: Eukaryota; Fungi; Ascomycota; Pezizomycetes; Pezizales; Tuberaceae.
CACCUGCGGGAGGACAUUA